GAUCCAGGCAGGAGGAACAUGUUCAGUCAAUCGCUCUGGAACAAACAGUGAUGCCCAAAGGAGCUGUGAAUGACAGAGCCAUCAGCACACCAAAAGGUGUCAACGUCAAUUUAACUUUUGAUGAAGGAUUCAGCGCAAUCUUCAGUGACAAAGGAACAAGUCUUGUCGGGGAGACCAGUCUUCUUCACGUGAGGUCAAAUGAGCAGCAGUAAGUACACUCACUACUUAUUUAAUGGCUUCCACACUGUCCAGUUGUAGUUCUUCAAACACUUUUGAAUGUAGUUUAAAAUGGUAUAUUAAACAUUUGUAAAGCCAUCCUUAAAAGGAAAAUAUGAAUAUGUCUACUACUACUCUAGUGACUGAGUCGGGCUAACGCACAUUUUGACGGCAUCACCUAGAUCAUCGGGU
Long non-coding RNA from Etheostoma spectabile (orangethroat darter), 408 nucleotides. RefSeq lists it as uncharacterized. The transcript has 4 exons. The record is from RefSeq and is a predicted model, not a curated record. Lineage: Eukaryota; Metazoa; Chordata; Actinopteri; Perciformes; Percidae.